UGCAAAGAACGCAGCUGGAACCCUGUCUCUCUCUUCCUUCUCUUGUGAAACACUAUUGCAAAAACACAACUCCCCUUCCCCUUUGGAAUUUCAAAGCUGGACGGCGAUUGUGGGCACAAAGCCGACGAAAACUACAGUGGUGAUUCCGAUGAAGGGAAGCCAUGUCUUCAUAUUGCGAAGGCUCCCAAUUUCGUGCCCCAUUAGUGCCAUCCCAACUGGAUUGGUGACUUCACCUGGACCCGAAUGUUGAUGUUGUUGUGUGGGUGGGCAUGUUGGUUUGAGGUGAAGCUCCUUUGGUGGAACUGAAUCCUUGAAUCCAAAGGGGAAAGCGACAAGGUGUUCACAUAGUUAUGGAGUAUAAGAGUGAUUCCGAAGGCACAGUUAUUUGGAUGGAGGCUACUUUUGGAUAAAUUACUAACAAAGAAUAAAUUAUCAAUGA
Vigna unguiculata (cowpea) is the source of this 439-nucleotide long non-coding RNA. The record is from RefSeq and is a predicted model, not a curated record. Lineage: Eukaryota; Viridiplantae; Streptophyta; Magnoliopsida; Fabales; Fabaceae.